ACACACAGGUUUUCCUGUUUCUUUGGGUCUUCAUUUCUGAAGGCUCCCAUGUCAUAUAAAACUUAUAUUAAAUACAUUUGUAUUUUUUUCUUGUUAAUUUGUCUUUCAUUAUAGGUGCCUCAGCCAUCAAUGGGUGAAGAAAGAAAUCUUUCCUCCCCUAUAGUUUCUGGUACCCAUUGAAGGACAGCUGAGACACCCGACUUACUCUGGAGCUAGCAGAUGAAACCCUGGGACAACUGACAAAAGCCAGCAAAAGAUAAGGAUUCUUAUCAAGGAAGAAGUUGUACUCUGAAGUUUCCUUAUCUGCCUAAAAUCUGGACACACCAAAGAAGAAAACAAUCACCCCUGAUCCCUUCCCUGAGUUUUCAUUAACUCAACUCAUAUUGCAGGAAGAAAGACUGAAGUCCUUCAACGCACCUGAGAAGACUUUUGUCACAAACCAUUGUCUGCUUGGUGGGCUCAACAGACUUUGUCCCGGGCCAUUCUUUGGCAUCAUGAACAGGAUAACCAGUCACUCUGCUCUUCUGGAAGCUGCAGUCAAGGAAACUCAGGAUGUGACAAACUGGCAGAAGGGAAAUAAAUUCUUACCAGCUGGACUCUCAGCCUCUAUUUCUGCAGAAUCCACUGUCUUUGGCGUAGUUUUGGAUUUUGUGAGGUCUGCUUUGCACCUCUUUGGAGAUGACCUGUGUGUCCUUGGUUAAGUCAUAAUUUUGGUUAAGCUCUAUUCAUUCUGGACACAAUCAGAAAUGCUGCUUAUUUUAUCAAGGUUUUGACUGGAAUGACAUAUUUUCAGAUAUGUCCAGACUGCUUUGAAGAAUUGAGGUUGACUUUAUUGAACUGAUGAAAAGCCCUUUGGAAAGGCUGACCUGGUACUUUAUCUACAUGGUUCCUUUUCAAUGUUUCUGACCUUGUGAUAUUAAUUAACGAAGAACAUAUUGCGUGCCAGGAAAUACUCUACAUGUUGGAGACAUAUCAAAAAGUCCAUAUAUUCUGGGAAUGCUUUACUAGCACUAUUGCAUUUUAUUAUACAAUCACCUUUGUUAGGAGCUGAAUUGUGUCUCCCUAACCCAUUAAUAUGCUGAAGUCCUAACCCCUACUACCUCAGAAUGUCACUAUACUUGAAAAUAGGAUUUUUGAGGGGGUGAUUAUGGUUAAAUGAGGUCAUAGGAACACCAAUCCAAUAUGACUGGUGUUGUUAUAAGGAGAGGAGAGAUGAGGCCACCGAACACGCAGAGGGAAGACCAUGUAAAGAAGACUCAGAGAGAAGACAGCUGUCUACCAGCUGGGAGGGAGGCCUCAGGAGGAACUAACCUGUGAACACUUUGGUCUUGGCCUUCUAUCUUUCAGAACUGUGAGAAAAUAAAUUUGUUGUUUACACCACCCACU
RNAcentral lists this long non-coding RNA (1386 nucleotides) under Homo sapiens (human). Its description in RNAcentral is "HSALNT0073156". Lineage: Eukaryota; Metazoa; Chordata; Mammalia; Primates; Hominidae. The record is from RNAcentral.